GGAAAGUUUUUUCGGUUGGGGAUGGGCUCGCGGCCUAUCAGUUUGUUGGUGAGGUAAUGGCUCACCAAGACGACGACGGGUAGCCGGCCUGAGAGGGCGACCGGCCACACUGGGACUGAGACACGGCCCAGACUCCUACGGGAGGCAGCAGUGGGGAAUAUUGCACAAUGGGGGAAACCCUGAUGCAGCGACGCAGCGUGCGGGAUGACGGCCUUCGGGUUGUAAACCGCUUUCAGCAGGGAAGAAGCCCCUUGGGGUGACGGUACCUGCAGAAGAAGUACCGGCUAACUACGUGCCAGCAGCCGCGGUAAUACGUAGGGUACAAGCGUUGUCCGGAAUUAUUGGGCGUAAAGAGCUCGCAGGUGGUUGGUCACGUCUGCUGUGGAAACGCAACGCUUAACGUUGCGCGUGCAGUGGGUACGGGCUGACUAGAGUGCAGUAGGGGAGUCUGGAAUUCCUGGUGUAGCGGUGAAAUGCGCAGAUAUCAGGAGGAACACCGGUGGCGAAGGCGGGACUCUGAGCUGUAACUGACACUGAGGAGCGAAAGCAUGGGGAGCGAACAGGAUUAGAUACCCUGGUAGUCCAUGCCGUAAACGUUGGGCACUAGGUGUGGGGGACAUUCCACGUUCUCCGCGCCGUAGCUAACGCAUUAAGUGCCCCGCCUGGGGAGUACGGUCGCAAGGCUAAAACUCAAAGGAAUUGACGGGGGCCCGCACAAGCGGCGGAGCAUGCGGAUUAAUUCGAUGCAGCGCGAAGAACCUUACCAAGGCUUGACAUACACCAGACCGUUCUGGAAACAGUUCCUCCCCUUUGGGGUUGGUGUACAGGUGGUGCAUGGUUGUCGUCAGCUCGUGUCGUGAGAUGUUGGGUUAAGUCCCGCAACGAGCGCAACCCUCGUUCUAUGUUGCCAGCACGUGAUGGUGGGAACUCAUAGGAGACUGCCGGGGUCAACUCGGAGGAAGGUGGGGAUGACGUCAAAUCAUCAUGCCCUUUAUGUCUUGGGCUUCACGCAUGCUACAAUGGCUGGUACAGAGAGAUGCGAGACCGCGAGGUUUUAGCGAAUCCCUUAAAGCCAGUCUCAGUUCGGAUCGUAGUCUGCAAUUCGACUACGUGAAGUCGGAGUCGCUAGAAUCGCAGAUCAG
Molecule: ribosomal RNA, 1142 nt
Filed under: uncultured bacterium
Lineage: Bacteria
Description: bacterial SSU rRNA
Rfam family: Bacterial small subunit ribosomal RNA
Source: RNAcentral